GAGGGUGAUGCCUGCCCAAUGGUUGUAUCUAAAAGCGGUUGAUAAAAGUCGACCUCGUAAGGACAAUUGAAUGGCCGCGGUAACACUGACCGUGAUAAUGUAGCGUAAUCAAUAGCCAAUUAAUUGUUGGCCAGUAUGAAUGGCGCCACGAAGGCCCCACUGUCUUAAGGAAAUUCCCAGUGAAAUUGAAUUCGUAGUGAAGAUGCUACGUGCAAUUUGUUAGACGAAAAGACCCCGUUGAGCUUUACUGGAGCACUUACAUGGCCCUGGCCUUCCCAUGCUUGGGAAUCGGCCGAAUUUAAAUGGGCGGCUUAGAUUAUGUGGCAGCCCCCCGCUGGGGCAAAUGAAACCCCACUCCCCCAUGUCAAAGGGGCUAACCCCCCCCCUUGGGGGGACAGUGUAAGUAGGACAGUUUGGUUGGGGCGACCGCCUUUUAAAGAGUAACGAAGGUGCGCUUAAGGUGCGCAAUUAAUGACUGAAGCCUGACUGCGAGGGGGACACCCCGAG
This 507-nucleotide ribosomal RNA is filed under the name Isaurus tuberculatus. Its description in RNAcentral is "partial large subunit ribosomal RNA". It matches the Rfam family "Bacterial large subunit ribosomal RNA", at positions 1848 to 2393 of the family's 2925-position model. The record is from RNAcentral. Lineage: Eukaryota; Metazoa; Cnidaria; Anthozoa; Zoantharia; Zoanthidae.